AGUGAACGCUGGCGGCGUGCUUAACACAUGCAAGUCGAACGAGAACGGGUUAUAGCUUGCUAUAAUUGUCAGCUAAGUGGCGCACGGGUGAGUAAUGUAUAGGUAAUAUGCCUCUUACUAAGGGAUAACAAAUGGAAACGUUCGCUAAUACCUUAUACUCCUUAUUAACAGAAGUUAAUAAGGGAAAGAUUUAUUGGUAAGAGAUUAGCCUGUAUUGUAUCAGUUAGUUGGUGGGGUAAUGGCUUACCAAGAUUAUGACACAUAACUGGUUUGAGAGGAUGAUCAGUCACACUGGAACUGAGACACGGUCCAGACUCCUACGGGAGGCAGCAGUGGGGAAUAUUGCACAAUGGACGAAAGUCUGAUGCAGCAACGCCGCGUGGAGGAUGACACAUUUCGGUGCGUAAACUCCUUUUAUAUGAGAAGAUAAUGACGGUAUUAUAUGAAUAAGCACCGGCUAACUCCGUGCCAGCCGCCGCAGUAA
This 484-nucleotide ribosomal RNA is filed under the name uncultured bacterium. Its description in RNAcentral is "partial 16S ribosomal RNA". It matches the Rfam family "Bacterial small subunit ribosomal RNA", at positions 29 to 523 of the family's 1533-position model. The record is from RNAcentral.